RNAcentral lists this long non-coding RNA (416 nucleotides) under Ananas comosus (pineapple). RNAcentral describes it as "long non-coding RNA (ACOM_LNC034488)". Lineage: Eukaryota; Viridiplantae; Streptophyta; Magnoliopsida; Poales; Bromeliaceae. The record is from RNAcentral.
UACUGAACAAGAAUAUACUUUAAGUUUUCAGUUUCGACCCCAUUUGGUCACCGAAAGCUGUACCGAACUGUAAUCUUUAUCAGAUAGAUUUCGGAUUUUAUUUCUCAACUUUCGGGUGUCAGAAAAAUAUGAAACUUUAAAUGUAGCCUCAUAAAAAUAUUUCUGACUUAUCCUCCAAUUUUUAUAAUUUUCUGACACUGCAUUUUCUGCUAAUUUAUCCGCCCCGUUUUCAACAGAAAAUUAUAAAUCUUCUGUUUUCAUUCCGAUUUCAACACAAGUCAUUAUAGACUUAUACUUUGUUUCUCAAAAACCAACAAAAAUAGUAUCUCCCACUAUUUUUAUUUACUUUUAUUUUUAUACCAAAAUCUGGUAUAUUACACCCUCGUUAUGUCUAUGUCGCCUUGUUGAGCAUAUAU